RNAcentral lists this transfer RNA (82 nucleotides) under Bradyrhizobium sp. RNAcentral's name for it is "tRNA-OTHER". The stretch from base 21 to 79 matches the Rfam family "tRNA". Rfam says of the family: Transfer RNA (tRNA) molecules are approximately 80 nucleotides in length. Their secondary structure includes four short double-helical elements and three loops (D, anti-codon, and T loops). Further hydrogen bonds mediate the characteristic L-shaped molecular structure. tRNAs have two regions of fundamental functional importance: the anti-codon, which is responsible for specific mRNA codon recognition, and the 3' end, to which the tRNAs corresponding amino acid is attached (by aminoacyl-tRNA synthetases). tRNAs cope with the degeneracy of the genetic code in two manners: having more than one tRNA (with a specific anti-codon) for a particular amino acid; and 'wobble' base-pairing, i.e. permitting non-standard base-pairing at the 3rd anti-codon position. The record is from RNAcentral. Lineage: Bacteria; Pseudomonadati; Pseudomonadota; Alphaproteobacteria; Hyphomicrobiales; Nitrobacteraceae.
GAGUGCGGUUGCGUCCGGUUGAGUGUGGAUAACAUGACUUUUAAUCAUGGGGUCGAGGGUUCGAGUCCCUCCGCGCUCACCA